RNAcentral lists this ribosomal RNA (496 nucleotides) under uncultured bacterium. RNAcentral's name for it is "partial 16S ribosomal RNA". It matches the Rfam family "Bacterial small subunit ribosomal RNA", at positions 29 to 507 of the family's 1533-position model. The record is from RNAcentral.
AUGAACGCUGGCGGCGUGCCUCAUCCAUGCAAGUCGAGCGAACAGACGAGGAGCUUGCUCCUCUGACGUUAGCGGCGGCCGGGGGAGUAACACGUGGAUAACCUACCUAUAAGACUGGGAUAACUUCGGGAAACCGGAGCUAAUACCGGAUAAUAUAUUUAACCGCAUGGUUCAAUAGUGAAAGACGGUUUUGCUGUCACUUAUAGAUGGAUCCGCGCCGCAUUAGCUAGUUGGUAAGGUAACGGCUUACCAAGGCAACGAUGCGUAGCCGACCUGAGAGGGUGAUCGGCCACACUGGAACUGAGACACGGUCCAGACUCCUACGGGAGGCAGCAGUAGGGAAUCUUCCGCAAUGGGCGAAAGCUUGACGGAGCAACGCCGCGUGAGUGAUGAAGGUCUUCGGAUCGUAAAACUCUGUUAUUAGGGAAGAACAAAUGUGUAAGUAACUAUGCACAUCUUGACGGUACCUAAUCAGAAAGCCACGGCUAACUACGUG